Molecule: ribosomal RNA, 454 nt
Filed under: Entrophospora etunicata
Lineage: Eukaryota; Fungi; Glomeromycota; Glomeromycetes; Entrophosporales; Entrophosporaceae
Description: LSU rRNA
Rfam family: Eukaryotic large subunit ribosomal RNA
Source: RNAcentral
GGAAAGAUGAAAAGAACUUUGAAAAGAGAGUUAAACAGUACGUGAAAUUGUUGAAAGGGAAACGAUUGAAGUCAGUCGUGCUGGCGCGAAAUCAACCCUCUCGUCGAGAGGACACAUGGCGUGGCGAGCCUCAAAACCGUCACGAAGCGUGAACUCUUGGCGAAAAGGAGCACUUUCGUGUCCGCUGGUUAACAUCAAUUUCGAACGUCAUAAAAAGGCUGGAGGGAUGUGGCUCCUUCGGGAGUGUUAUAACCUUUAGCGGAAUGUGGUGGUCGGGAUUGAGGAUUGCAACGAAUACCUUCAGGGCUGUUCCACCUGGCUUCUCUUUGGCAUCCUGGUGACGACAGCUUGCUGACGUUGUUAGGAUUCGCCUUUGAACAGGCUAGAGUGUGAGCAAAUUCGUUAAGGAUGUUAACGUAAUGGCUUUAAACGACCCGUCUUGAAACACGGACCA